UACGUAGGGUGCAAGCGUUGUCCGGAAUUAUUGGGCGUAAAGAGCGUGUAGGCGGCCCGACAAGUCCGCUGUGAAAGUCCAGGGCUCAACCCUGGAAUGCCGGUGGAUACUGUCGGGCUAGGGUCCGGAAGGGGCGAGUGGAAUUCCUGGUGUAGCGGUGAAAUGCGCAGAUAUCAGGAGGAACACCAAUGGCGAAGGCAGCUCGCUGGGACGUGACUGACGCUGAGACGCUAAAGCGUGGGGAGCAAACAGG
Molecule: ribosomal RNA, 253 nt
Filed under: uncultured bacterium
Lineage: Bacteria
Description: partial 16S ribosomal RNA
Rfam family: Bacterial small subunit ribosomal RNA
Source: RNAcentral